AUGCCUAAAGAAAAAUAAGAAGGAUUCAUAAUUCUCCAAAUUUCUUGAAAUUUUCAAGAAAUUGCAAAUUACUGUUCCAUUUAGCGAAUCAUUAGAGCAAAUGCCGAGCUAUGGAAAGUUCCUCAAGGAAAUCUUAAGCAAAAAGAUAUGUUUGGAAGAUACUGAGAUGGUGAAACUGACGGAGGAGUGUAGUGCAACAAUACAAAGGCAACUACCACCUAAGCGAAAGGAUCCAUGGAUGUUUUCUAUUCCUUGCACCAUUGGCACUAUUUCUUUUCAAAAAGCAUUGUGUGAUCUAGAUGGUGGAUAAAUCACUUACAUAUCCUCACAACAUUCUUGAAGAUAUACUAGUGAAGGUGGAUUGCUUCAUAUUCCCAGCUGAUUUCAUAGUUUUGGAUAUGGAAGAAGAUGUCGACACUCCAAUUAUUUUAGGAUGUCCAUUCCUCAGUAAGGGAAGAAUGAUAAUUGAUGUAGAAAAAAGUUCUUUGAUCCUACGAGAAGCCAAUCAAGAGGUGGAAUUCAAAGUUUUUGAUGCAACCAAGUUCCCCAUUGAUUCAGAGUUUUUGGAAUUCAAAGCCU
Non-coding RNA from Prunus avium (sweet cherry), 579 nucleotides. NCBI's taxonomy places the organism in Eukaryota, Viridiplantae, Streptophyta, Magnoliopsida, Rosales, Rosaceae. The record is from RefSeq and is a predicted model, not a curated record.